ACUCCAGUGAUUGGUUCCAGUUUUUUCCGUUUCAUCUUCAGAAAAUCGAGACCAAGAAAUUUUCCUCGUUUCAGUAAGAGGAUGAGAGAGUAGCUGAAAGAGGAGAUUGGCCGUGUAUGAUAAAUUUAUUUAAGAGGUCGUAGUAAAUGGAGAUUACAAAGGCCUGUGAAGAAUAAGGAAGCAUCAAAGUGUUAUAUGAAUCAAAACUGUCUUAUAGCAGGCGACUACUAUGAUAUUGAACAGGUAUGUCAUGUAUAAACUCAUCUUAUACUUCUUUGAUAGUUUGUAGGAUGGUAAGAAUAGGUAAACCAGACAAAAUUUGGUUUAGUUAGGAGAAUCGAAUGGUUAGUUAGGUGGUUAGUUAGGUUAAUCUAUUGAUUAUUUAAUUGAAUUUUGAAGACUGGUUGUCCAUUGUUUAGAUGUUGAACUAAUAGAAUGGAAAAGUCAGAUCAAAUUGUAUAGAGUCUGAUCUAAUUAUACAAUCUAAUUUAUGGAAUCAUAUAGGAAAUCUCAAUAUUAUUAAAUAUAGAAAACCAAUAAAAAGCAAUGCAUAAAUCAUAAAGUUCAGAAAUAAUUAAAGUAAAAAACAUUAUUAAACAUAGGGGGGAGGGGUGGUUGAUGGCGAAGUGGACACAUUCUCUUGAGACUAUUCCUUCUUUUCCUUCUCUUGUUUGAUCAUUUUGGUGCACAGCUUCUUGGAAGAAGAUGAUAUGUCUGUUAGAUCAGAAUGAUCUACUUUGCGCUUUGUGAUGGGAGUGGGACAAUCUUCUGAUGACUUCUGAUCCAACAUCAGAACCUAAAAUUAGAUCAAAUUAAUCAGUAAGAUUGUAUUAUAAAAAUCCAAGUUAAAACAGACACAAAGUAAGACCAAAUAUAAAAUUUCAAGUUAAAACAGACAAAAAAGAAGACCAAAUGUAAGGCUCACGUUUUUUAAUACUAAUAAACUUACAGAUCCAGAUGACAUGGUGGAAGAUGUUGUGGCCAUGCCAGAAAAUGAGUAAGAGCCAUUUUCAAUACUUAGAACUUUAUCUCCAGAACAAACCUCUAAAACCACAAACGUGUCCGCUCCAUUUGUAACAUUAUCAGAGCUUAUAUAAAGCCCAAAACAGAAAGACUUUCCAACCAAACUAAGAAUAUGUUCUGGUAGUAUCUCUGGAUCUUCAAUCUACAAAAAAAUAGCAAUAUAUUUAUUUGUUAAUAUGGGUAAUGUUAGUGGUUUACGCACAAUUUAAACAAAAUAAUACCUCUUCAUAAGAGCCAUCCCAUAGCUCUUCAGCUUUAACUCCAACGAUUGACUGACAAACAGAUCCUAGCAACAUUAGGUUACAUGUCCCUGUGUCAUCUUUCACAACCAAAUGUAGUUUGAAUCUACUCAAACAAAAAAAAAAAUUGUAUUGUUAGGGCAUGUAUGGGAAUAAAUAAGGUAAUACGGGUAUAAGCUUUGAAAUUAAUUACUUGGGUGACACGUUAGUGAUAUUGGAACGGCAGACUUCACAGCGAAACAAUGGUUUAUCUUUCUUUGUCAUCCUCCCAUAAUCAACGUUGGGGAGCUUAAUGACACGUUUCUGGUGCCGGUUACAACCAAAAUAGAACCAUGCCCAAUCUGUAUCUAUUGCCUCAAUAGAACAUAUUAUUUUGCAAAUCUCCACCUAUAUUGGUUAAAAAAGAAAACGUUAUGUGAUUUUAUGUUGAUAACAUUAAACCAUUUGAAAAAAAUUCAGAGCAGACAACAUAUGUACCUGAUUGGCCUCAUUGACUUCUGCAAUCGAUUUGAUCUCAGCAUCAUUCCAGUCAUAUUUAAUUCUUUUACCAUCCUUCUUUCCAUCUUGUUUGUCCACCAGCGCAACAGAUAGAUGAUCAUCUGACAGCCUACAAAGAAUUAAGAUCACACCAACAUCAGUGUGUGGAUAUGGUUCUAUAAUACACACAUGAAAACAACACUAAAAGAAAUCGAUGUUUAACCUUUCUGUUAAAUCUGUAAGUUCAGGGAUCAUCGGAUUCAAGUAGAGGCGUGUUGCAUGAAAAGCGUUUGUGAUUUGUACCUCACCUAGUUAACAUAGAUUAAAUUAGGCGCAAAAAUAUAGAGAAAAAAGUAUUUUUACACGUUUAAAAAUACAAUUUAAAUACCUCUAAAGUCUUUGAUUUUUGCAAACCUGAUCAAACAAACAAUUGAUUGAUCUUUGUCCUCAGUAAAAGGUUCAAGUUGCUCAGCAUAAUUUUCCCAAAGACAACAUGCAAUGUUGUUUCCUCUGUAGAUUAAAAUGGAAAGAUGAUUAGUAUACUAAUGAAGUAGAUUUAUUGCUAUAAUAAUAUAAUGAACAAAAUGUGUUUUAGAAAACAAACUCUGUGUCAACCAAGCGAAAUUGAACCCUUUUUUGUCUUCUCCUCCAACUUGCACGGUCUGAACAUCACCAAGCUCAUGAACUCUGCCAAUUACAUCUGAGAGAAAAAGAGACACAAAGUUAAUACAAUUGUGAUAUCGUAUAUAAAACACACACGAAUAUAAAACACCAAGUUCAUGAACGUGCAUAUGUAUAUGAAUAGAUUCGAAUUAUAGAUUACCUAUGAGGAAAUUUGGUUUUAGAGUUCCAUUUUGAAUUUCUUCAUACUUGGCAAGAGAUAGGAAAUUGCUUUCAUCAGCUAAAUCAGAACUCGAAACCACAGCAUCGUCUGCUAUAGUCAUCUUGUACUUAUGUUUUUUUGUUCGGUAUUGACCACCAGCUGGAGAUACAGAUAAGUUUUGAACAACUCCCCAUUUAUCAAUAGGUAAAGCACGUUGAAGUCGGUACAUGAGACUUGGUUUGCAAGAAGCCUGAAUCUUGUUUCCCUAUAAUAAAACAGAUACGAGUAGAUUAGAUUCAAACUAUAAUAAAUAAUUUAUAAAGACACGAAAGUUUAAAAUAUAAAGUUACCCAUUGAUCUGCUAAAAUCAUCUCAAAGCUAUCACCUCCGAAAGGUGUGUGUUGCUUAAAUGAAUGCAAACAUUUGACCUGAACUCUCCAAUUGUUUUUGAAAGGUCUCAAUUUUGUGAAAGGAACAAAAGCCAUAACGAUUGACAUGUUUACUAUUUGGUUUUCUUUGAUACGUUUUUGACGUUAAAAGGAGUGGAUAUAUAUAGUUGUGAUUUGAAAGAUUUGGUUAAAUUGGCAAAAGUAUAAAAAGAUUUACUUUGUUGUGAGCUUCACGCAAAAUCUGUUGAUUAUAUUACCUUAUUUAUGAAAUCAUAUUUAAAAGAGAAUAUCCUUUCUAACGAUAAGGAAUAGAUUGUUUUGUAAGAUUUUAAAUCAGAAAAUAUAGAUUGUAUUUGUUAAUUGAAACCGUGCAUUAAUCAAAAGUCAGCGUAGGAAUAGGAAAAAAUAAUAAUGUUGUUUUGUUUUGGAAAAGAGAUAUUUUGUUAUGAUAUUGGGCAUGUAGAAAUCGUUAUUUAGAAAAAUUUGUUUUGAUUAUGGAAGGAUUAAAACUUCCGAUUUGUUAUUGAAUUGGGAUAAAAUAUUCUCAGAACAAUCGUUUAAAAUUGUAGGGGAGAUAUAACUUAAUUGGGUUGGUAAUAAGAGUAACAAAAUCGUAUUGGACAUUGGAUUGGGCCAUGAAUCGUUAAUUGCUUAAAAGAUCUGAUAAAAGGAGAAGUACAAAAAAUUCAGUGGCAUAGGUAUGUAAUAUUUGUGGAAAACUAAGGGGUAUUAUCUUUUUGUACUUCAGUUUUAAUAUAUUAGAUAAUACCUCUUCAUAAGAGCCAUCCCAUAGCUCUUCAGCUUUAACUCCAACGAUUGACUGACAAACAGAUCCUAGCAACAUUAGGUUACAUGUCCCUGUGUCAUCUUUCACAACCAAAUGUAGUUUGAAUCUACUCAAACAAAAAAAAAUUUGUAUUGUUAGGACAUGUAUGGGAAUAAAUAAGGUAAUACGGGUAUAAGCUUUGAAAUUAAUUACUUGGGUGACACGUUAGUGAUAUUGGAACGGCAGACUUCACAGCGAAACAAUGGUUUAUCUUUCUUUGUCAUCCUCCCAUAAUCAACGUUGGGGAGCUUAAUGACACGUUUCUGGUGCCGGUUACAACCAAAAUAGAACCAUGCCCAAUCUGUAUCUAUUGCCUCAAUAGAACAUAUUAUUUUGCAAAUCUCCACCUAUAUUGGUUAAAAAAGAAAACGUUAUGUGAUUUUAUGUUGAUAACAUUAAACCAUUUGAAAAAAAUUCAGAGCAGACAACAUAUGUACCUGAUUGGCCUCAUUGACUUCUGCAAUCGAUUUGAUCUCAGCAUCAUUCCAGUCAUAUUUAAUUCUUUUACCAUCCUUCUUUCCAUCUUGUUUGUCCACCAGCGCAACAGAUAGAUGAUCAUCUGACAGCCUACAAAGAAUUAAGAUCACACCAACAUCAGUGUGUGGAUAUGGUUCUAUAAUACACACAUGAAAACAACACUAAAAGAAAUCGAUGUUUAACCUUUCUGUUAAAUCUGUAAGUUCAGGGAUCAUCGGAUUCAAGUAGAGGCGUGUUGCAUGAAAAGCGUUUGUGAUUUGUACCUCACCUAGUUAACAUAGAUUAAAUUAGGCGCAAAAAUAUAGAGAAAAAAGUAUUUUUACACGUUUAAAAAUACAAUUUAAAUACCUCUAAAGUCUUUGAUUUUUGCAAACCUGAUCAAACAAACAAUUGAUUGAUCUUUGUCCUCAGUAAAAGGUUCAAGUUGCUCAGCAUAAUUUUCCCAAAGACAACAUGCAAUGUUGUUUCCUCUGUAGAUUAAAAUGGAAAGAUGAUUAGUAUACUAAUGAAGUAGAUUUAUUGCUAUAAUAAUAUAAUGAACAAAAUGUGUUUUAGAAAACAAACUCUGUGUCAACCAAGCGAAAUUGAACCCUUUUUUGUCUUCUCCUCCAACUUGCACGGUCUGAACAUCACCAAGCUCAUGAACUCUGCCAAUUACAUCUGAGAGAAAAAGAGACACAAAGUUAAUACAAUUGUGAUAUCGUAUAUAAAACACACACGAAUAUAAAACACCAAGUUCAUGAACGUGCAUAUGUAUAUGAAUAGAUUCGAAUUAUAGAUUACCUAUGAGGAAAUUUGGUUUUAGAGUUCCAUUUUGAAUUUCUUCAUACUUGGCAAGAGAUAGGAAAUUGCUUUCAUCAGCUAAAUCAGAACUCGAAACCACAGCAUCGUCUGCUAUAGUCAUCUUGUACUUAUGUUUUUUUGUUCGGUAUUGACCAUCAGCUGGAGAUACAGAUAAGUUUUGAACAACUCCCCAUUUAUCAAUAGGUAAAGCACGUUGAAGUCGGUACAUGAGACUUGGUUUGCAAGAAGCCUGAAUCUUGUUUCCCUAUAAUAAAACAGAUACGAGUAGAUUAGAUUCAAACUAUAAUAAAUAAUUUAUAAAGACACGAAAGUUUAAAAUAUAAAGUUACCCAUUGAUCUGCUAAAAUCAUCUCAAAGCUAUCACCUCCGAAAGGUGUGUGUUGCUUAAAUGAAUGCAAACAUUUGACCUGAACUCUCCAAUUGUUUUUGAAAGGUCUCAAUUUUGUGAAAGGAACAAAAGCCAUAACGAUUGACAUGUUUACUAUUUGGUUUUCUUUGAUACGUUUUUGACGUUAAAAGGAGUGGAUAUAUAUAGUUGUGAUUUGAAAGAUUUGGUUAAAUUGGCAAAAGUAUAAAAAGAUUUACUUUGUUGUGAGCUUCACGCAAAAUCUGUUGAUUAUAUUACCUUAUUUAUGAAAUCAUAUUUAAAAGAGAAUAUCCUUUCUAACGAUAAGGAAUAGAUUGUUUUGUAAGAUUUUAAAUCAGAAAAUAUAGAUUGUAUUUGUUAAUUGAAACCGUGCAUUAAUCAAAAGUCAGCGUAGGAAUAGGAAAAAAUAAUAAUGUUGUUUUGUUUUGGAAAAGAGAUAUUUUGUUAUGAUAUUGGGCGUAUUGGGCUGCUCAAACAUUGGGCUUCAUGAUUUAAGUUGGUCCAAGUACGGUCUCAUAUACAGUUUCAUCCUAUGCGUCGAGACAACGUCGCCGUCUUAUCGAUCGGACUUACGCUGCAAAACGGCUGCAUAACCCUUUCGUUCAAUUAGCGUAAUUAGCGCUUCCAUUUACUCCAUUAAACCAGAACCUCCACUAACUUGCAUUCAGUAACACCCUCGCCCUCCUCAAAGGUUACGGAUCUAUAUAAAUAAGAAUAUUUUAAAGCUCCUUGGCAAAGUAACGUUUCUGAAGUCUCAAGCUUUUCACCACCUCUGUAUUUCUCGGCAAAACCGGAACCGUCAUCUCUCGCCUCCCGCCGAAAGCUUAUGCGGCGCUGCGAAGUGUGUUUAAGGCGAAGAUGUCGCUGCAUAAGAAUACUUCGGCCGUCUCGAUCUUGGACAUGUGUUUUUAUCUCACCGGGUUUAAGACGGUGACGAUCCCGACGGUGUCGUUCUUCUUCAGUGGUGGCGUCAUUCUGGAGCUCUCGAUCCCGACGGUGUCGUUCCAAAUUAUAAUCACUUAGGUCUUUAUCAAAGUCAAAACUCAAAGUAGAUGUACCGUAUAAUCACUCAGAUAACGAAGAGAUGAUGCACCCUGCAUUCACCAUGAAAUCUGUUGGAGUUUUGGUUCUGCUUACUGUUCUAUCAUCAGGUAUAUGCGAUCUGAUUUAAUCUCAUUGGUCUUCUCUGUUUCCGAAAACCCAUACCUUUGCAAUCGAUAUGAUCUCCCUUGCUUUAUGUCGUUGUUUCUCAUCUUCAACUUAUCCAAAGAAGUCAGCUGAUGUGACAAAGUUGCAGAUUGGUAUCAAGGUAUGCUGAAAAGCUCUUUCACGUGGUUAAGUUUUGGAAAGAAUU
Molecule: long non-coding RNA, 6779 nt
Organism: Brassica oleracea var. oleracea
Lineage: Eukaryota; Viridiplantae; Streptophyta; Magnoliopsida; Brassicales; Brassicaceae
Exons: 3
Source: RefSeq, a predicted model, not a curated record